Molecule: long non-coding RNA, 623 nt
Organism: Schistocerca gregaria
Lineage: Eukaryota; Metazoa; Arthropoda; Insecta; Orthoptera; Acrididae
Exons: 3
Source: RefSeq, a predicted model, not a curated record
CUACUAUCUUAACAAUGGCACCCUCGUUAUCCGAAGUGCAGAAGUCUUUCAUCAACCUACAGAUUGAAUGCGAGGAGUCUCGUGCUAAAAAGCUACAGCUUUCAGCACAAUACAAUCUCCUAAUGAAUGAGAGAGCCGAGACGGAGGCUACUUCACAAUACCUCAAAAAACAAAAACCAGAUACCUUGGUUUUUCGCGCGGUUGGCAGAUGCUUCAUAAAGUGUGACAUGAAAAAUCUACUGGACAGCCUAGAAAACGGAAUUGAAUCUCUGACUCUAGACGCUGAGUCAGCCAAGAAGGCGGCCAGCUCUGCUGAGACAAAAUUCAAUUCAGCUUACGAAAGUCUUGUGGAAUGCGUUAAGAACACCUACAAUACUCCUAACCAUUAGCAAGAACUGCUAGUUUGAGCUGUGAAUUCUAUCUCUGCGGUAAAAAACUUCGCAAUCGCCAGUGAGCAAGAGGCCUUGGUACAAAGAAUAGUACUUUUGUGAUAUGUAGUCGUGCCUAUGCAUGGUAUCGCACUGACACAAAGAAAGCCAUGACCGAAAAUAGAAUGUGUGAAAAUAUUGUCGUUAUACCAAAAAUCUUUGUUGCUCUAAUUUGCAGCUCCCUUUGUUCAGAGG